UGGGGAAUAUUGCACAAUGGGGGAAACCCUGAUGCAGCGACGCCGCGUGAGCGAUGAAGUAUUUCGGUAUGUAAAGCUCUAUCAGCAGGGAAGAAAAUGACGGUACCUGACUAAGAAGCCCCGGCUAACUACGUGCCAGCAGCCGCGGUAAUACGUAGGGAGCGAGCGUUGUCCGGAUUUACUGGGUGUAAAGGGUGCGUAGGCGGAUCUGCAAGUCAGUAGUGAAAUCCCAGGGCUUAACCCUGGAACUGCUAUUGAAACUGUGGGUCUUGAGUGAGGUAGAGGCAGGCGGAAUUCCCGGUGUAGCGGUGAAAUGCGUAGAUAUUAGGAGGAACACCAGUGGCGAAGGCGGCUUACUGGACGGUGACUGACGUUGAGGCUCGAAGGCGUGGGGAGCAAACAGGAUUAGAUACCC
This 415-nucleotide ribosomal RNA is filed under the name uncultured bacterium. Its description in RNAcentral is "bacterial SSU rRNA". It matches the Rfam family "Bacterial small subunit ribosomal RNA", at positions 355 to 787 of the family's 1533-position model. The record is from RNAcentral.